AAAACGCGAAAUGUGUUAUGAUGUGCAGUCUUUGUGAAUCAUGAAUCUUUGAACGCACCUUGCACCAGGCACGCUUUGUGGCUGGUAUGCCUGUUUGAGUGGGGGGACGAUGUGUACGAGAGUAUGAGAUGGGGCGUAGCCACGGCUUGCUCUGAAAAACUAAACUAGUAGUUCGCUUGGGAUAAUCAUCAAGUGAGCAAAACCUUUUACUUAACCUCCUCAAAUCAGGCAAGAACACCCGCUGAACUUAA
RNAcentral lists this unclassified non-coding RNA (251 nucleotides) under uncultured fungus. RNAcentral's name for it is "sequence contains ITS1". The stretch from base 1 to 104 matches the Rfam family "5.8S ribosomal RNA", at positions 50 to 154 of the family's 154-position model. The record is from RNAcentral. Lineage: Eukaryota; Fungi.